This 131-nucleotide ribosomal RNA is filed under the name Castor canadensis (American beaver). Lineage: Eukaryota; Metazoa; Chordata; Mammalia; Rodentia; Castoridae. The record is from RNAcentral.
GUCUAAGGACAUACCACCCUGAACACGCCCGGUCUCGUCUGAUCUCGGAAGCUAAGCAGGGUCUGGCCUGGUUAGUACUUGGAAGGGAGAAAGUUGCUUUGUGUGUUUGGGGGGGAAUCUCUCCUCAGGCA